CGCCGGUGUGCUUAUGCAUGCAAGUCGAGCGGUAUAUCGAAAGAUAUGCAGCGGCAAACGGCUGAGUAACACGUAAGUAAUCCAUCCCAAAGUGGGGAAUAAUCCGCCGAAAGGUGGACUAAUACCGCAUGUGGUAGUGGAAUUAGUUUUUCACUACUAAAGCUCACGGGCGCUUAGGGAAGAGCUUGCGUCCUAUCAGGUAGUUGGUGGGGUAAUGGCCUACCAAGCCUUCGACGGGUAGCUGGUCUGAGAGGAUGUCCAGCCAGACGGGGACUGAGACACGGCCCCGACUCCUACGGGAGGCAGCAGCAGGGAAUUUUGCGCAAUGGGCGAAAGCCUGACGCAGCAACACCGCGUGAGGGAAGACAGCCUUCGGGUCGUAAACCUCUUUUAUCAGGGAAGAAUAAUGACGGUACCUGAUGAAUAAGUCACGGCUAACUACGUGCCAGCAGCUGCGGUAAUACGUAGGUGGCGAGCGUUAUCCGGAUUCAUUGGGCGUAAAGAGCGCGUAGGUGGUCCUUCAAGUCAGAUGUUAAAUCUCUCGGCUUAACUGGGAGCUGUCAUCUGAUACUGCUGGACUUGAGGGUGGUAGAGGGAGGUGGAAUUCCCGGUGUAGUGGUGAAAUGCGUAGAUAUCGGGAGGAACACCAGUGGCGAAAGCGGCCUCCUAGGCCAUUCCUGACACUGAGGCGCGAAAGCGUGGGGAGCGAACAGGAUCAGAUACCCUGGUAGUCCACGCCCUAAACUGUGGAAACUAGGUACAGGGAGUAUCGACCCUUCCUGCGCCGUAGCUAACGCGUUU
This 801-nucleotide ribosomal RNA is filed under the name uncultured bacterium. RNAcentral describes it as "bacterial SSU rRNA". It matches the Rfam family "Bacterial small subunit ribosomal RNA", at positions 38 to 862 of the family's 1533-position model. The record is from RNAcentral.